CGGACUGUGGCGCAGUUCGGUAACGCACUUGCAUGUGGUGCAAGUGGUCAUGGGUUCGAAUCUCUGCACUCCGC
This 74-nucleotide transfer RNA is filed under the name Marivirga sericea. Its description in RNAcentral is "tRNA_Pseudo_GTG". It matches the Rfam family "tRNA". From Rfam's summary of the family: Transfer RNA (tRNA) molecules are approximately 80 nucleotides in length. Their secondary structure includes four short double-helical elements and three loops (D, anti-codon, and T loops). Lineage: Bacteria; Pseudomonadati; Bacteroidota; Cytophagia; Cytophagales; Marivirgaceae. The record is from RNAcentral.